RNAcentral lists this ribosomal RNA (468 nucleotides) under uncultured bacterium. RNAcentral's name for it is "partial 16S ribosomal RNA". It matches the Rfam family "Bacterial small subunit ribosomal RNA", at positions 28 to 507 of the family's 1533-position model. The record is from RNAcentral.
GACGAACGCUGGCGGCGUGCUUAACACAUGCAAGUCGAACGGAAAGGCCCUGCUUUUGUGGGUUGCUCGAGUGGCGAACGGGGGUGUAACACGUGUGUAACCUCCCCUUGACUUUGGGAUAACUCCAGGAAACUGGGGCUAAUACAGGAUAGAAUCUCUUGCUGCAUGGGGUGGGUUGGAAAGUUUCGGCGGUUGGGGAUGGACUCGAGGCUUAUCAGCUUGUUGGGGGGGUAGUGGCUUACAAAGGUUUUGACGGGUAGCCGGCCUGAGAGGGUGACCGGCCACAUUGGGACUGAGAUACGGCCCAGAAUCCUACGGGAGGCAGCAGUGGGGAAUAUUGCACAAUGGGCGGAAGCCUGAUGCAGAAACGCCGCGUGCGGGAUGACGGCCUUCGGGUUGUAAACCGCUUUCGACUGUGACGAAGCGUGAGUGACGGUAAUGGGUAAAGAAGCACCGGCUAACUACGUG